Long non-coding RNA from Paramacrobiotus metropolitanus, 3879 nucleotides. RefSeq lists it as uncharacterized. The transcript has 6 exons. Lineage: Eukaryota; Metazoa; Tardigrada; Eutardigrada; Parachela; Macrobiotidae. The record is from RefSeq and is a predicted model, not a curated record.
CAUUAACAAACGCCUUUAUUGUUCAGUCAGCAGAUGAUAUCCUUAAUCUCCUGUUUUCACACUCCAUUACUGCUGUGAUUAAGCGAGCAUAUGUCUGACUGUCAGCUAAUUUUCUCUGUAUGGUUAUGUCAACUGUAAUUCUGCAACCACAGGCGGACGAAUUAACGCGAUUACAACCACAGGCGGACGAAUUAACGCGAUACCAGGUUUGGCGCGGAUACGGACAAAUUAUGCGAAAGAGCCGCCCCGCCGCUAUCCAGCUGAUCAACGGAUACCCGGAGAUCAACAGAAAACGAUGUGUCAAUUUGUAAAUCAUCGUAAUGCGGAGGCGGCGGGAUGGUUUCCUGUCGCUCAAAGAUACACGGCACGGAUUUGCGAGGCCGAUAGAUGGACGGAUGUGACACAGCCAAUUGGUACGUGGGUGGCAGUUCGUUGAUCUGACGCGCCUCGCCCCAGCGGCGGCGGUUUCUGUUAUGGCUAGACUGGCCUGCCGUCGCUCCGGGCGGAAGCCGGACGGUGUCAACGGCGGAGAGAGACUGCGAGCGCUGCCGGUGGAGACGAUGGUGCAUGGCGUUCAACAAACGCAUUCUCCGCGUUACUUCCGGAGAGUGGAGACCGGAAUUACCGGUAGAACCGGUGUCGUUGGGUCGUGAACUCACCGUUGUUGCGCCCGCUUCCGGAUGGCCAUUUGCACGGACACCCCAUCGGCUGUAGCAAUAGCGUGCGAAUAGUUUGCAUCCCAACACAAUCAAUACGGUAACUGAAAUGAUGUUUUUACAGAUGUGCAUUAACAUGAAAUAUCAUACCUGAAUGUGUACGUAUGCAUUUCAUAUGUUUAUGCAGUGAUUAAUUAAAUGACAAGCUAGUAUCAAAGGUAGCAGCUGUAUAACCUGCUGCCCAAACGCCGAAAAAUAUGCCAACGGUACUGGUCUCCAUAUAAAAUCCGCGGCGUAAUCACUUCCUCAAAAGGUAAGAUGUCCGAAGGACCGGUAGAAGCGGGUUCAACGCCAAUGGAGGCUUAAUCAACAAACACAGGCCAUGCAUGUAAUUUUUCACAUCCCAAAAGCCAGAGAUUCCUGUUGCGCGAUGCAGUACGUUUCUGUACUUAAUUAUCGAUAUAUGGACGGUAACAGCGCAAUGAUCGAUCGUUAAUCAGACCUUCUACAAAUUCCUCUUCCAAAACUGUAAGAAGAAUUCCAAAACAUGUGAAUUACAUGUGUCGAGUGAUACGAGGCUGCACAACAUUUGUCAGGUAAAUCGCAAUCGAAAACGUUUGACGUAACAAAGUACAGAGUCAAUAAAACCUCUUACCAAAGUGCAGGGGUUUCUAUAAUUACCCGGAAAAGAUACGAUAGUACUGUACGUUUAACAUAGACUUUUUAUUUAUUGUGAUUUGAUUAUGUCGGCACCGCUCUGACUGCUACGAUAUCAGGCUGUUAUCAGACGGUUAACAAUGGCAAUAGACGAUUAAUCAUCCAACUGUCAUCACUGCACAUUUUACGGCUUGGAUGUGCUGCAAACAACAUGGAUAUUCGAAGAAAACUGGGACUGCCACCCGGAAACAUACAUGGCACAUGGACACACACGGUCCAACGACCCGCAUGGUGCAGCAUUGGUUAUCCAUAAGCCUGUGAUACAUAGAUAUCAUAGAUUCUGUUUACGGCAAAAUCCAAAGAUAAGCCAUUAACAAAUUUUGGUAAAUGGAGGUUUCGGCUAAAGAUGUGUAUAAAUCUUGCAACUUGAACAAACUCUUGUACUACCACAUGGCGCGUAUGGGGAUUGUGCACAACUGCAUGCAUGAGCUUCUGUCCCAUAUGUAAUUCCUUAACGUUUAAUAUUAACGAUAACUUAUGGCAGUGAGCGUAGACCCUAAAGGAGUUUUCAAUUGUCAUUAUUAGUAAAAUGCGUGAAGUGUAUUUAAUAAGGUGAAAACUCCGUACACACCCUUUCACACCCUUUCACUCCGUACACAACCUUUUGCACUCCCUUUCAUUCCGUGCACGACCUAUUUGCGCUACCUUUCAUUCCGUACACAACCUUUUAAUUUUUUUAAUUUUUUCACAGUAGUUAUUUCUGGAAUAAAAAAAAACGCGCAAUCUCGCCCGCUUUUUUAUUUGAACAGCAACGUUUUUUACUCUAAUCUCCGCAAGACCUGCUCCGUAACACUUGUUUAUUCAAUCUUCGCUUGCCACGUGAGUUAUUUGCUGACGCUGUCAUACACCAGGACGUCUUCGUCGGAACGGUCCCAUGAUGUUGCAGAAAAGUAGUACGAGUAGUAUUUUUUUGUAGUUUUGCUUUUCUGUAGUAAUAUAGAUUACAAGCGUUUCAGUAUAUUAUAUAUAAAUAUAUAUAAAAGUUUGGUAGUACACCGAGUGAAUGGUAGUGCGCAAAAAGGUUGUGCACGGAAUGAAAGGGAGUGCAAAAGGUUGUGUACGGAGUGAAAGGGUGUGAAAGGGUGUGUACGGAGUGGUCACCAUUUAAUAAACAUGUCUGCAUAAAUAUAAUAUAUUUUAAUAAAUAUAUUUUAUAUUAAUAUUUUAGUAAACAUGUUUGCGUUAACGAUUCGCCAUUCUUGCACGGAAAGCUGCUGCAAGCCGUAUACCGAUAUUUAUGUAUAUAUUAGACGAUAAUAUUAUCAAGUACUUAAUUAGAACAAAACAUUGUGUCUUUUGCAUUUAGCAAUCAGAGUAUCAUUUAUGUUUAUCAAUUCUUGUUAUAUAUAUGCGCGUUUAAACGGUUUGCUAUAGCCUAUACUUCGACGUUUUGCAAGUCUGGUUAUCGGCGGCGAAUUGGUAAGCAUUUUAGCGACCAGCUGUGGCAGAAACUCAGAUCUGCAUUGAAAUGCGGUGGUUAACUACCGGCCGAGCUGGCCAAACUUCACAAGAUUACGGGCUGUUCUGCCAAGUGCCACCCGCCCAAGAAAAACCUCCCAAGAAAAGCAACUGCGACUGAGCACUAUGUUCCUGUAUUUCCCGAGAACGAUUAUAUCACUGUUUUGACCGCUCCUUGCAUUGUGCUGUAACCUUCGUGGCACUUAUUUUUGGAUCAUCCCUUCGACAACCAGUAAUCCUGAUUGCCUUUCGCAGACAGCCGGUACAUCCUGGGAAUUUCGUGAUGCGUACUGUGCUGCUGGACUGACGGCCUGUCACAUACACCAUCGAUUGACCCGUUUGUAUAGAAGGGUACCCACGCACACGACGGCCCUGACCGCACUCGGAUAUCUGGUUUCCAAACCACUUCACAAUUCCCGUCAUCCAUAAAGAAUUUACUUCCCAUCUGCGUCGUCUACCUAACCAUAAGCAGCGUGGGAAGGUGAAAAUAUGAAUUAGGGAUGCUUAUGGAAAUAUCAGCGAGUUAUUCCGGGGUUUCUCCUGCGGCACAAUAGAGUUUUCAGAUUUAUGGUUUUGGUGGCAUCUGCCUUUUUGUUUACUAUGAGCAAGGGAAAAUGUGACCUUUUGCAUGGAGAGACCAGAAUACGGGCAGGUUAUUCCCGUACAAUGCUGACAGAAGAACAUUUCGAUCACACGAAAGCCAGACACACCCAUGUCGAUCGCAUCCUGCUGCGACUUUCGACAUCAAAAACAGCAGCAAUGGAUGACCUAUCCACCACCCACACGGAUCUGCGCGCGUUGCUUAAAUUACAGCCGUUGGAGCGUCCAUCAACGGCGCGACAGGAACACAGUGCUCUGGUGCAGUCCGGAAUCCUGCAGUCUGGCGAGGGCGCUGUGACCAGUACUUGGUAUCUUGGCCGAAGAAAGUGACCGUCUUACCUAUUUUUAUAUCAGCACUGUUUAAAUUUGUUAAAUUUUUAAUGUUUCAAUAAUGUUACAAUCGGAAUUCAGUAUUAUUCUUCAAAAAACAGAAAACGUGUUGAAACAU